Molecule: long non-coding RNA, 1097 nt
Organism: Capsicum annuum
Lineage: Eukaryota; Viridiplantae; Streptophyta; Magnoliopsida; Solanales; Solanaceae
Exons: 4
Source: RefSeq, a predicted model, not a curated record
CUAUUUAAUCACAUAGAAUAUUAAGAAGGUGGACCUACAUCUAUUCCUGAUUUUUUAUAAUCAUUGAUUGAAAAUUUUAAGCUAUAAUCCUUUGGCAAAGUUUUGUUAACAUUGAUGGCCACUUUGUGGGAAUACACUGGAUUUGUUAUUGUUGUUAACAUUGCUGGACAGUUAUAUGCAUCAGAUCGGUAGAUUCCUAACCCGUGCUCUUAUAAUACUCUUGUGAGUCAAAAUAUCCUCUUGAAUAAGGUUUGAAGUUGAUCCCAUCAUCCAAAACAAUUUUUUUUUUUCCCGUUAGUCUAUUAUUUCAAAUCAUUUACGGGAGUUACAUAAUAUGCUUAAUUAGUUGUCCAUAUUGUUUUCUUUCAGGUGAUACUAACCUCACUUUCUCACUUGGAAAUUGGUAACUUCAAGUUCCUGUCCCCUACCAAGGUCACCUAAAAUUUCCAUUGUGGAGAGUGAUGAAUUCAAAAAUCUAGAAGUAGAUCAAAAGGCGUGUUACGAACCAUAACAAGCUGGAUUGGCUGACGUAGUGACACUUCAAAGGCUCGACAAUUCGAGUUCUUCCUAUUGACAUUCUAUAUCUGCUGGUUUUCAUGUGAAGCAUAUUCCUGCCGUUAGCAAUUUGCAGAGUCAAAUCGAUUGCAACCCUGCCAACCCAAUAUAGACCAGAUGGAGUAGCACUGAGCCAUCUUUGAAGAAUGACAUUUCACCAACUGUUAGAAGAUUUAGGGGGUGUGAUAUGUUAGCACUGAUCACCACGGGCUGACAUAUCAUGCUUUGGGGAUUUUUCCAUCUGGUAGGAGCGCUGGCAAGACCUGGGAGUAUGCAUCUGCUCGGGAAGUAGAAGAAAACAUAAAAUGUUUCCUUGAUCAUAUGUAUAAUGACACAAGACUAUAAUAUGCAUUUUGAAAAGCUACGCCUCAAGUGAUUACACCAACUGUAAGCUAACUAACAAAUGACUCAUACAAGCAGUAAUGCAUCUGUAGAUGUUGUGUGCAAAACUCAUGAAAGUAAGAUAUAAGCAAUUAGCACAUUUGUCAGAGGUUGUAUCUUACUAACGCAUCUAAUCGUGUUGAAUAGAAUUUAACUACAUG